This 75-nucleotide transfer RNA is filed under the name compost metagenome. RNAcentral's name for it is "tRNA-Asn". It matches the Rfam family "tRNA". Rfam says of the family: Transfer RNA (tRNA) molecules are approximately 80 nucleotides in length. The record is from RNAcentral.
UGGCAAGUAGCUCAGCGGUAGAGCAGUCGGCUGUUAACCGACCGGUCAUAGGUUCGAUCCCUAUCUUGCCAGCCA